AGCAGCCGCGGUAAUUCCAGCUCCAAUAGCGUAUAUUAAAGUUGUUGCAGUUAAAAAGCUCGUAGUUGAAUUUCGGGAUUAAUAUGUUGGUCGUGCCUUGGUACGUACUGGCAUUAUUGAUUCCUACCUUCUGAAGAACCUCGAUGUCAUUAAUUUGGUGUCUUGGGGAAUCAGGACCGUUACUUUGAAAAAAUUAGAGUGUUUAAAGCAGGCUCGCGCUUGAAUACAUUAGCAUGGAAUAAUGAAAUAGGACGUUUGAUUCUAUUUUGUUGGUUUCUAGGAUCGACGUAAUGAUUAAUAGGGAUAGUUGGGGGCAUUAGUAUUCAAUUGUCAGAGGUGAAAUUCUUGGAUUUAUUGAAGACUAACUACUGCGAAAGCAUUUGCCAAGGAUGUUUUCAUUAAUCAAGAACGAAAGUUAGGGGAUCGAAGACGAUCAGAUACCGUCGUAGUCUUAACCAUAAACUAUGCCGACUAGGGAUCGGAUGAUGUUAAUUUUUAAUGACUCAUUCGGCGCCUUAAC
Molecule: ribosomal RNA, 520 nt
Filed under: uncultured Glomus
Lineage: Eukaryota; Fungi; Glomeromycota; Glomeromycetes; Glomerales; Glomeraceae
Description: SSU rRNA
Rfam family: Eukaryotic small subunit ribosomal RNA
Source: RNAcentral